CAAAACUUUGUAUGGACAUGGUGAGAUUUCAUUUUAUCUUUUCUUUCAUCCUCUAGAUCAUCAUCUCUAUCAGUUCAAGAUUUUAACAAAAACUCAAAUUUAUGCAUGCAUGGUUUGUAUAUAUAUGAGUGUGUGUGCUCGCUCACGCGUAAUGCAUGUAUACAGAGAUAAAGAGAGUUUGAAGAAAUUUACAAGUCCUUUCAUGCUUUUCCACGGCUUUCUUGAACUUCUACAUCAAUUUUUCAUUUCAAAAACAUGAAGAUGUUCAAGAAAGCUGCGGGAAAAUAUGGAAAUUAAGGGCUUCUUAUGUGACUCCAUUAUGCUUAUAAGAAUGCAGGCAUUAGAACCUUCUCUGCCGCGUCAAUUCCAUGGUAAUUCUCCAAAUCUUCAUAGGAUCCGCAGAACUUUGUUUUCUUAUUGACUGGAAAGUUUUCAAUAAAUUAUUUUUACCAUGACAUCAUAGAGGUGACGAAUUCUUCUAGGAAUUAAUGAUCCCAAAUGUUUAAUAAAAAAUGAAUUUUCACUGCCCAAAAAAAAAAAAAAGACUUCGUAAUUGUUGUACAGUACUGUUACAGUGUUAUAUACUUAUAAAUUAGUAAGAAUUUCAAUCAAAGAUAUGAAGAGUGAGAGACUUUGCAGAGAAGAUAUUCCCGUCGUUCCUCUUUAUUAUAUCAAUACUUGAUAGAUGUAUCUUGUUUGCCUUUUGUUUUUCCC
Molecule: long non-coding RNA, 714 nt
Filed under: Olea europaea subsp. europaea
Lineage: Eukaryota; Viridiplantae; Streptophyta; Magnoliopsida; Lamiales; Oleaceae
Source: RNAcentral